ACCGGCGGCUCGAGUGGUGGCCACUAUUACUGGGCUUAAAGCGUUCGUAGCUGGCUUGUUAAGUCUCUGGGGAAAUCUUCCGGCUCAACCGGAAGGCGUCUCAGGGAUACUGGCAGGCUAGGGACCGGAAGAGGUGAGAGGUACUCCAGGGGUAGGAGUGAAAUCGGGUAGUCCCGGGGGGAAGAAAUGUGGGGAAGGCGACUCACCAGGAAGACUCCGACAGUGAGGAAUGAAAGCUGGGGGAGCAAGCAG
RNAcentral lists this ribosomal RNA (252 nucleotides) under uncultured prokaryote. Its description in RNAcentral is "partial 16S rRNA". It matches the Rfam family "Archaeal small subunit ribosomal RNA", at positions 475 to 726 of the family's 1478-position model. The record is from RNAcentral.